GACGGAGACAAGCGCCCGCGCUCAGAGUACCUCUCCAUUUGAUGGGGAGACACAGCCCCUGAUUUCUGGGUGUCUCUGAGCUUCUUUCUGUCCAUCUCCCAAGUAAAAGGAACAACUUGACAGCGAGACUCAGGUUAGCACAUCAAUCACCCUGUCCUGUUCUGGAGGGUAUGUCCCAAACCCCAAAGCUGUCCUAUAGGGGUACCCAGGCCCCUCUCCCCAAGACCCUCACACCAUCAGAUUCCCUCCAGCCGGCCCCAGACAAUGAAUUAGGUGAUCCUGGAAACUCCCUCUCCCUUCUUCUCUCUCUGAUCCCUUUUAUUUGCUGGCCUAAAUCAUUCAUGACUUGCAAUAAAGGCCUCCAUGGCCCCCUCCCAGCCCCCUGCAGAAAAUAUUAUUUAACAGAAAGGUGACAGUUAUGUAAUUUAGUCUCCAUCUCCAUUAUUGAUGAAUUUGACCAUGAAAUAUUUAGGCUCCUCCGUGUUCUGCCGCUCAGGGUCUGACAGUUACAGUGUCACAUUCCAGUUUAUCCUCAUGGAAGAUGUGCCGAUCAGGAAUGCCCUGCCUCACCCACCCAAGGGUACAUCCCCACUCAGCACACACCCCAGCUCUCCCCACUCAGGGAUCCACCCAGCACCAACAAUAGGGUUCUUUUGUCCCCAGGGGUCCACUCUCUCACUUCCCCAUCAGCAAAGUGGCCAGAGUCCAUGGAAAGGGCUGUGAAUUCAAGAUAGUCAGAGACAAAAGGAAAAGAGGAAAGGAGGGAGGGAGAGAGGAAAGCAUUGUGUCUUAAGUAUCUCUAAGUUCUGGCUCUGUGUUAACUCAUUUAAUUCUCCCAUCAACCCCAUAAGGUAGGUUUUAUGAUAAUCCAUUUGCAUUUGAGGAAAUGGAAUCUCAGAGAGGUUAAGACAUUUUCCUAAGGUUACUCAGCUAGCCUGUGGUAGAGCUGAAAUGGGACACCGAUCUAGCUUGCAAACCUCUGUUCUCUUCACUCCACCACAGUGGAAAUAGACUCUGCCAGAAGACAGAUUGUGCCAGAAGACAUGGCUCACUCAACAUAACACAUUUGUUCAGUGACUCCCAGUGCAGUGUUGUUUCUGGAUCAUAGUUCUUAGCUGGGAAUUCCAGAUAGAGUGAGGAAAAGACAGGAAACGAGAGAGAAGACAAAGUUCUCGUCCUCAGAGGAUUGCCAGCCUGAUGGGGGAAACAGGAUCCUUGAGGCGUCAACACUACUAGCAGGAAGCUGCAGCCCAUUCAGCUGGCCCAAGUCGGGGUAGAGCUGUACUAGGGGAAACUGAGGCCUGAACAUCACUGUCCUGCCCUCGAAGCUGGAGAGAAGGACUUUGGGCCUUUGAGCGUGGCACGCCCUCCAGGCUGCUCUGUGAUCCUCUGGGGGUGCUGUGCCUCUGAAAAGUCACUGAGAAGAACUCCUUCCUCCUGGCUCCGCAGGUCGACCGUCUGUCUGUCUGUCCCCAGUUACAGAUGAUUGAUGAGCAGCUCUGGGGAAAGGGCUAAGCAAAGAUGUUAUCUCCGCGUGGAGUCUGGCUUCCGCCUGAUCCAUCAGGAAGCUUUGGAGAAUUAAUCACAGCACAGACUUAGCCCU
Equus caballus (horse) is the source of this 1603-nucleotide long non-coding RNA. The record is from Ensembl. NCBI's taxonomy places the organism in Eukaryota, Metazoa, Chordata, Mammalia, Perissodactyla, Equidae.